GAUGAACGCUAGCGGCAGGCCUAACACAUGCAAGUCGAGGGAGAGGUUACCUUCGGGUAACCAAAACCGGCGCACGGGUGCGUAACGCGUAUACAAUCUGCCUUUCACAUAGGGAUAGCCCGAAGAAAUUUGGAUUAAUACCUAAUGGUAUAUAAGAGCGGCAUCGUUUUUAUAUUAAAGCUACGGUGGUGAAAGAUGAGUAUGCGUUCUAUUAGCUAGUUGGAGAGGUAACGGCUCCCCAAGGCGACGAUAGAUAGGGGUUCUGAGAGGGAUGUCCCCCACACUGGUACUGAGAUACGGACCAGACUCCUACGGGAGGCAGCAGUGAGGAAGAUUGGACAAUGGUCGGAAGACUGAUCCAGCCAUGCCGCGUGCAGGAGGAAGGUCCUAUGGAUUGUAAACUGCUUUUGUAAGGGAAGAAUAAGGAGUACGUGUACUUUGAUGACGGUACCUUACGAAUAAGCAUCGGCUAACUCCGUG
This 480-nucleotide ribosomal RNA is filed under the name uncultured bacterium. Its description in RNAcentral is "partial 16S ribosomal RNA". It matches the Rfam family "Bacterial small subunit ribosomal RNA", at positions 28 to 507 of the family's 1533-position model. The record is from RNAcentral.